UACGUAGGGGGCAAGCGUUGUCCGGAUUUAUUGGGCGUAAAGAGCUCGUAGGCGGUCUGUCGCGUCGAUCGUGAAAACUUGGGGCUUAACCCUGAGCUUGCGGUCGAUACGGGCAUGACUGGAGUUCGGCAGGGGAGACUGGAAUUCCUGGUGUAGCGGUGAAAUGCGCAGAUAUCAGGAGGAACACCGGUGGCGAAGGCGGGUCUCUGGGCCGAUACUGACGCUGAGGAGCGAAAGCGUGGGGAGCGAACGGG
RNAcentral lists this ribosomal RNA (254 nucleotides) under uncultured bacterium. RNAcentral's name for it is "partial 16S ribosomal RNA". It matches the Rfam family "Bacterial small subunit ribosomal RNA", at positions 524 to 776 of the family's 1533-position model. The record is from RNAcentral.